AUCCUUUUGUAGUUCAUAAGCAUGAUGAUUGGGUGUUCGUGCUGUUGUAUGACAUGUGCCACCCUUAAACCUUGUUACAACACCGGUACAUUACCCAUCUGACA
Small nucleolar RNA from Suricata suricatta (meerkat), 104 nucleotides. NCBI's taxonomy places the organism in Eukaryota, Metazoa, Chordata, Mammalia, Carnivora, Herpestidae. The record is from Ensembl.